This 6257-nucleotide long non-coding RNA is filed under the name Gallus gallus (chicken). Lineage: Eukaryota; Metazoa; Chordata; Aves; Galliformes; Phasianidae. The record is from RNAcentral.
CUGUGCCGUACGGAGGGGACGGGGAGGGCGGCGUCCGGCCGGCCGCUGAACUGACCUACAUCGCUCGUCCCCAGGUCGGUGGAUGCUGACUUGAGGGUCUGCCUCCUGCUGCGGCUGCCGGGCUUCGGCCCACUCUGCCCCUUGGAGGAACAGAACACACCGCAGCCUGUGCAGCCGCAGAGGUGCAGAGGAAUGGAGGAGAAGGAGCGGCCCCCCGGCGCCCGCAGCCCCCCCCCCUCACCUUGCGCUGCGCCCAUGGGCCGGGGGAACUGCGUGAGGACGGGGAGGGGGCUCAGCCCCGUGCAGACACUGUUCAGACCAAGAGCGUUCUGCAGGACGGGGAGCCCCGGAGCUCAGCAGACACGGGUGACAUGCACAGCCCUGCAGAGGCCGGGGCGGCCCCAGCCCCGAUCUGCGUCCUGCAGGGCACUUCACACCAUGCACGGGGCGCUGCUCCCAGAAAGCCAGCACGGGCUGAGCACGAACUGCAGGGCAGCCGUGGCCCCACGGCACUUCCUCAGCCUCUAAGAUCAGCCCCGGGCUGCCAGAGCCUCGAGCAGCCCACGGCAACACGGGGCCUCCCUGACUCCUAAAGCCACCGUGUGCAGUGUGUGCGACACAGCCGGGUCAGCGCAAGCUCGGACAACACAAACACGGCACACAGGUAGAGCGGAGGCAGCGCACGAGAGUAAAUGGGGUUUAUACCAUGUUGUACUGCUGGGGUGGAGAGACUGGCAAGAGGACUUGGGGGCAGGAGCUUGGAGAAUACUGAACGGGCUGCAGCGCUGGGACCGGCUGAGACCAGCAGAGGAGGGAGCAGAGGGCACAGAUUUGGGUGGGGAGAGGUGAGGAAGGACAGGAGGAAGGAGAGAAAGAAGGAACAACAAGGUUAGUCAACCGAGCCCGUUGCGAACACACACAGGCGGGCAUUGCAGGGGUUUGGAAAGCGUGGGGAGCAGAAUGGGAGAGCGUCCGCCUGUCGGGGACGGCACGGCUGCUUUGUGGAAGCUGUGCAGGCCGUGUCCACAAAGCAGUCCUCACCUGGUGUGAACGGUGACGAAUUCACAAAGGCCCAAAGCAGAGAUCCGUUUACUCCGGACCACCUCCGUGUCUCCCAUCCCACCGCCCACCCGUGCACGGCACCGACCCCCGGCUCUCCCUGCACCCUCGCCGGGCAGAACGGAGUCCCAGCAGCCCGGCUGUGCGUUGGCUCUGCCUGCACCUCCCACCGCCUGCCCCCACCGAGCCCCGCCUGCUGUGCAGACACUCACCUGAGACAUCAUGUGGUUACUCAUGGCUGGCUGCUGCUGGGCCGUGGGGGGAAGGCCUUGGGGCUGCGGCUGCUGGGGAGGCGGUGGUUGAGGCUGCUGGGAUGCGCAGGGAAGGAGGCCGCGGCUGGGCUGCGACGAAGGGGGUUGGCUGCAUGCUUCGGGGGCACCGAGAGCCAGGCCUUGAGCAGAGAGAAGCAGGAGAAAGCAGACGGUAAGUCAGCCAAACAGCUCAUCCCCAUCCGGGUGCUGAGCAGUCCGAAACGAAGCCGGUUUCGUUUCCUGGUCCCAUUCUAACCGGGGGCACUGAGCGCAGCCCCAUAGCUGACCAACCCCCCGACUCAACGACGGCGGGCACCGCUGCUCCCUGGCAGGAGGUGGGCAGGGAAGCCAAGCAGUACCUGCCCGGGGUGCUCUGCUGGCCGUGCUGCCUUUGCUGCUCCCGAUGCUGUCCCCCCGUGUCAGGAUGGAGAUGCCGCUGAAGCUGCUGGCUUUGGUGACGGGCGGUCGCAGGCUGCGGAUGGAGCCAUCUGAGUCCGUGCUGCUCCACGGCCGAGGCUCCAAUGAUUUGAUCUCGCUCUCCGUGCUGCUCUGACGGCUGCCCGAGGCCCGGCUCAAACCGUCCCGGUUGGCCCUGUGCAGAGAAAACACCGGGCCUCACAGAGGCCUCAAGGUGACCAAGAUCUUGCAAGAUCCCCUUCUGCAGAGCUGUGUGCCGUGGCACCACUGUGCUCCCCGUGACUGCCCCCCUUCCUCUCCAGCCGGGUCUGCCUGUAAGACUUUGGAGUGCUGGCAAAGCACCCCAAGCAUUAAACCCGGUUCACCAGCCCAGCUAAGGAAUAUCAUGGGUUUAUAAUGGGUUCCUGGACCCUCGCUGAGGAGGAGUGGUGAUGAAGGCAACGACGGCAGAGAUGCCAUGCUGCAGGCUGAGCUCGGCAGCUCCAAGCAGCCGUGGAGAGAAGACAGGCUGAGAAGGAACGUCCAGCUGAGGUCCGGGGCUGCCGGGAGCACACGAGAGCCAAAGAGAACAGCUCUCCUGGAAGGGCAACCGAUGCGAUGGCUGCACCUCCUAACAGGUGAAGGAACCGCCUGUGCAGCCUUGCAAACUCCAGAGGGCCUAAAAAGUGUCGCUGCUCAUCCGGGCUCUCUCCAACCUCGACCCCGAGGAUGCUCGGAGAGGUGGGGGCACUCUUUGAGGCAUGUCGUGUCCUCCGUGCAGCUCAGCUGCUAACCCCGCUUCCCUGAGAACUCAGGACCUCUCAAGCUGUUAUGCCACUGGGUUAGCAGCAAGCAGCUUGAGCCAGCUCUGCUGUCUCUCGUGCCCCUCUCUCCGUGAACCUCAUCACAGCCUGCUUCCACGUGUCUGCCAGCAGAGAGCUCUCUGCCAUCACCUCGGUGCUAACAGAGGCCGUGUAAGCAAUGGAGGUGGCUGCUUUUGCUCUGAGUGCUGGGCUCUGGGGGAGCGAACUCAGGAGUUCACCAAGACAUCACCUCCAAGCACAGCCACCCAGGGAGCCCCGGUCUUCUCCGGAGCUUUGUCUGCCUCUGUCCAGAGCUCCAAACGACCCUGAGGUCCACACGGCCUCCGGAACCACAGAGGAAGGAGGUUAAGAAGCUCUUUAGGGCACACGGGUCAGAAGAGCUCUCAGCACAGCGCUGCCUGCAGGUGUGGGGUGACCUCUGCUGUAUGUCCACAGCAGAACUGCAAACGACACCAACACCGCAGCCAGAGGCGUAACUCCACCGCAGCAUCCCCGUAUCUGCGCUGAGGACACCUCGUUUUGCACUGCAGUGUUGUUCUGAGUGCAAACGGAGCCAAAACUGAGAAGCAAAGCUGUACCUCCAACACGCUUAAACCAGGGACAGCUGCAGUGCACCCCGACACUGAGCGGUGGGGUUCUCCCACCCUUCUGGGACACAAAGAGCGCAGCGGUUGGAAAACUGCCCCGAUCCUUUGGCUCUCCCCCUCCCUGCUGCCCACCGUCCCAUUUGAAUCGAUGGAUUGGCAAAAAAAAAAAAAUAAAAGAGAGAGAGAGGACUCAGAAAUCAACGCUGCGAAAAAUCCCACUUCGGCAACGAAUGGGGCAGAUUUACCCAGCAGGAAAACGUGCAUAAAUCACACAGCGACGCCUAAAAAUCUGCCUCCGUUUCUGAGGGCUAUAAGCAAAGCUUUCCUUGGACAUUCUGCCCGCUGCCAUCAGAGAAAAGCAUCAUUACGGAGUCAUGCAGUGCCCUGCAGACAAAGGCAGAGACACAGAGGUGUGUGCUGAGCGGUACUGACCUGCUGUCGGUGAGAUAUCCGUUCUGACCGGUCUGCAACCGUGGAAAAGACGCGGAGAUGGGAAGGAAAGAAAAAGGGACACUUAAUCACUUGGAAAGCGACAAACCCCACGCUACUUCAAAGCAAAGAAGAGCAAAGCACUAACAGUAUGGGAUUCAGCUGGUGCUGUGCAUGAGUUGUAUGGUCACUCGGGAGCUCCUGCUGAGCCUCUCGUGCUCCUGUCCCACUCGGCUCUCCAUCCAACCCCCCUGGAGCCUUUGCCAGCAUCUGUGAGGCCGACAUCUCCCCUGGGCUUUCAAAUCGGAGCCCUAAGCUCUCUAUCUCAGUGCCCUGAGGAGUCCUAAGCUCUCUAUUUCAGUGCCCUGAGGAGCCCUAAGCUCUCUAUCUCAACGCCCUGAGGAGCCCUAAGCUCUCUAUCUCAGUGCCCCGAGGCAGCAUCGAGGUUGCUUUGUUAGUGGGACAACCGAGACCAAACACAGAAGGGUCCUCUCUUGGUAAACGCGGGCAGUCAUCAGAGCCACGUGAAAAGGCGGAGGGCUCAAAGUCAGCCCAGCAUCCCGGUGACAGCCAGCCCUGCCCCUGCAGCCUGCAGCAGAGCGCCGGCUCAGGCCCUGAGCAGAGAGGAAGGGCGGCCACUCAGCACCGUGCUGGCGUGGGAUGGCAGCUGCCCUCGUCCAGGACUGCAGGCAGAGCUGCUCGUUAGCGUGGCUGGAUGGCUCUGGGCCUGCGUGCAACACAGCUCUGUGCCUACCAACACGAGAGCCAUCCGAAGCCUUGCUGCCUCGAGAGCACUCAGUGCAGCGGCUGCCUGAACACACUCCCAUUGGGACGGAGGAAAGCAUCGUUCCCCAGCUACUCCAAAGCAGCAGGCAGGGAGCUGGACUUCCAACCUGACCCACAGCAGCCUGAACUGUCCCCAGUCCCAUCGUACGCCUCUCGGCACAGCACAGAGAGCUGCCUCCAGCUGGCAGAUAGCACUCAACACAGCAGAGCACAGCAGCCUCGCUGAGCCAGACGUGAGCACGGAGCAGAGCUCUGCCUUAGAGGAGUUCCACACAGGGAGCAGAGAUUUCAAGCAAACAACAACCAAGCUGGACGCUUUGUGAGAAAGGAAAUCAACCCACAUCCAGCCCACAAAGGCACAGAGCCCUGCCUGACACCUGAGGGACCCCGGGCAGCCUGAUGUAAGGGCUGGCAACCCUGCCCGUGGCAGGGGGGUUGGAACGAGGUGAUCUUUAAGGUCCCCUCCAACCUAAGCCAUUGUGUGAUUGAGGGCUAGCACUGCUUGCUCGGGAGGCCAAAGCUGCAGAAAUGGAGAGAAACUGGGAGAGAAGGGCACGGUUCCUGGCAGCUUCAUCGAUUAACUCAUUCCAGACAUGCCACUGCAUAAGCUUAUAGUACUGCUGGACAGCAAGGAGCAAACCUGCCUCCUCUGUCAGUCCCCACACUUCUACUGCCAUGUGAAUUUAAGGGAGUGAACGUGUGGCUCCUCUAUCUCCAUGUCACAGGCAUCUUUGUUAGGAGCUGGAAUUCACUGGUAGAUACCAGGAACACUAGGAAAUUCGUAGAAAAGGCAACAGUGAGAUCUGACCUGUUAGGAUAUUCAAGGCCACCUUCUGCCCCAAGGUUCCAGGAAGACACCUGGCACGUCAGUGAUCUCAGCUUACCUCUCGUGCAAAUAUCCGCUCCCUGGCCCGCUGGUAUUCCUCCUCUCGCUCUUCUAUAGAUUUGCUCCUCCUCCCAUCCUGCAAGGGGAGUCUGAUCUGAAGGGACAAACACAGCUCAGCGGGUCAGUGGUUGCCAACGGGAGCAGAGGGUGCAGUGAGCUGCUGAUACGUCUGCACAGCACUAUGGGGACUGUGGGGUGCGUGCACGAUGCCCGGGUGCAAUAACGCUGCCUUUAAACUGAACUCCUGGGCACCUGUGUUAUGGGGGUGAACAACUGUUCUGCCUGCAAGACUGUUCUGCCCGAUUCAGAGAGGACAGGUGAGGAAUAUGAGCAAGUAUUCUGGAAGACAAUCUGCUCUCGGGGGGUCAGGAGCUAAAAGCCGCUCUCUGCAGACAGAUGCCCACGGCAAAGUCCUCCUGCUCAGUCACACGCUGUGUGCCUCACCCUCUGAGUACCACCGUGGAGCAAACAGAACCUGGUACUGAUUGCAAUGACCUCCUGAGUUCGGAAAGGUGAACCAAAGCGAGGGGUGAUGGCGUGGUGAUGUUAAGAUGGGUGCUACAAAAGCAAAGAGCGCGAGGUCCUGGGUGGGGAGGGGGAUCCCGGCGCCCCGUUCUGCUGUCCCUUACCUGAUUAUCAUCCCUGUCCAUGCUGGUGUCAUCUCGUUUUAGGAUAAACCGCUGUGGAAACUCUGCAUUCUUCUCAUCCUUGAUGUGCUCAGAGAACCUCUGCUCGGGACUGCAGGGGGAACCAGCUCUUGUUAGGGGGUCACAACGGGGGUAGGACUGCCUCCAUAAAACCACUGCCUUGCAGGGAGUGGGGCACGAAUGUCCCUCUCUGACAGCAACAGAGGAACCAAACCCUCCUCUGACAGCUAAAGAGAGCUGGAAAGGACUUGUAGAUAUAUAAACGUGGGGCUGGAAGUGGAGGAUUCCAUCUGACCCUCUGAAGAGGGAACGUGCCCUUCUUACAGAGGCAUUAAAUGUGGUGCAAAAUCCAUCCUAUGAAAUCCAUCCCCCAGGGCUUGUGGUCUGGGAGG